CGCGUAGGCGGGCCUUCAAGUCGGAUGUGAAAACUAUCGGCUCAACUGAUAGCCUGCAUCCGAUACUGUUGGUCUUGAGUACGGAAGAGGAGAGCGGAAUUCCAGGUGUAGCGGUGAAAUGCGUAGAUAUCUGGAAGAACACCAGUAGCGAAGGCGGCUCUCUGGUCCGAUACUGACGCUCAAGCGCGAAGGCUAGGGGAGCAAACA
RNAcentral lists this ribosomal RNA (207 nucleotides) under uncultured bacterium. RNAcentral's name for it is "partial 16S ribosomal RNA". It matches the Rfam family "Bacterial small subunit ribosomal RNA", at positions 568 to 774 of the family's 1533-position model. The record is from RNAcentral.